This 443-nucleotide ribosomal RNA is filed under the name uncultured bacterium. RNAcentral's name for it is "partial 16S ribosomal RNA". It matches the Rfam family "Bacterial small subunit ribosomal RNA", at positions 338 to 795 of the family's 1533-position model. The record is from RNAcentral.
CCUACGGGAGGCAGCAGUGGGGAAUAUUGGGCAAUGGGCGCAAGCCUGACCCAGCAACGCCGCGUGAAGGAAGAAGGCUUUCGGGUUGUAAACUUCUUUUCUGAGGGACGAAGAAAGUGACGGUACCUCAGGAAUAAGCAACGGCUAACUACGUGCCAGCAGCCGCGGUAAUACGUAGGUGGAAAGCGUGCUCCGGAUUUAUUGGGUGUAAAGGGCGUGUAGGCGGGAAAGCAAGUCAGAUGUGAAAACUCGGGGCUCAACCCUGAGCCUGCCUUUGAAACUGUUUUUCUUGAGUGCUGGAGAGGCAAUCGGAAUUCCGUGUGUAGCGGUGAAAUGCGUAGAUAUACGGAGGAACACCAGUGGCGAAGGCGGAUUGCUGGACAGUAACUGACGCUGAGGCGCGAAAGCGUGGGGAGCAAACAGGAUUAGAUACCCCAGUAGUC